Molecule: long non-coding RNA, 7565 nt
Organism: Acinonyx jubatus (cheetah)
Lineage: Eukaryota; Metazoa; Chordata; Mammalia; Carnivora; Felidae
Exons: 3
Source: RefSeq, a predicted model, not a curated record
UCUCUCCCUCUUCUCCCCACCCCCAAAUGAAUAAAUUUUUAAAAAAAUAAUUAUAGAGACAGUUUUAAUAUUUUAAUAAGGAUAUUUAGAAUAAAAAAUACUGUAAUUAAGAAGGAAAGCUUUGAUACAGUCCACUUAAUUGGGGAUUUUACUCGUUCGUUCAGUAAACAGUGUAUCAUAUAAUACUGUGCACCAGUACCUUUACCAUUCCAGGCGUUGUACUUGGUGCUGUGAUUCAGAGAUAAUUAAAACCAAAGUUCUUGCCUAGGAAAGGUUCAUAGUCUAACAGGAAAAACAAAGCUGUCAAUGAUCACGUCCUCCACAAUUGUAAAAACAAGUGCGUAUAGAGCAAGUCUUACCUGAUCUUCAGUUUUUCCUUUUCAGUGUAUUCCUGUAUCUUGGUGAAAAAACAAAAUAAAUAGAUCCUCAUGUUUUCUCUCUUUUCUGUGGUAAGGUAGUUUCUUACUACCACAGAAAGUCCAAUGACUUUUCUCUGAUUGUCUCCAUAGAGAAGUCUGCUUUUGGUGAGUAGGGUGACUUCUGCCCAAGAUGCUUUGAACCUCUGAACAGACCCUUCAGACCUAAAUGCGGAAAUAAGAGGAAACUUUAGGUUCAUUUUAGUCUUAUUUUGCCACAUUCCAUUCCAGUUUGUGAGCUGACAGCCAGAGAUAGCCAUAGGAGAGGGCUGUAAUAAGGAGUUUCUCUCUUUUUCUGAGAAGCUGGGUUUCUUUUACGUAUUUGUUUUGGUAGCCAAGAAGUAGCUGGGGCAGACGUCCCCCUGCCUCUAACUGGAACGAUCCCUUGACUAGGAGCCAAGCUCGAUGGCCCCUCACUGAGCAUGGGGUCAAAGCCAAGGGUAACUCACCCCUAACUUCAUGCUCUCCAUGGGCUCUGACACCUAGUAUAUUUUCUGAAGGAGCCCCGUAGGAUUGAGGUUUACCCUCUUCUGCUUUGUUUCUAAUUGGGCUUUUUUUUUUUUUUUUUUUCUAACUGGGCUUUUUCACAGCACGUGGAUUGCCUAGCUGCUCCCCACUCCCAGUUUAUCUGGCCUGUCCCUUAUGUUAGAAAAAUUGCAUACGGUUUUUAUGUGUGGAUGGUGCCCGUCCCCAUUUCCCAGCACUCAUCGCUUCCCUAUUUUAUUCCCUUGCUCAUCUCACUGGGAACUGGAGGGGAGUGGGAGCGUUGAGUGGGUGCUGACAUUGUUUGAACCAUAGCUCCCAUAAUGGUUUUUUAGACCAUUUUUUUAGACCUUUAUUUUCUCAUUAAAGGACCCAAAACCCUGACUCCAAGGGACCAGUAUUGGCAUCUGUAUCCUUUGCAAAUAAUGAACCUAGAUGUGCAGUUGAAGAUGUUUGUGUCUUCUGUUGUAAGCGAAAACAUGUUGAGUAGAUUUAUAGGCUCCAUCAGUUACAUAGUUCUGUAGAUCACAAAAUGGCUGCCAAGGAAGUGAUGCCCUGACCCAGAAUUUGUUAAGCAGAGCCUAGACGAUGGGGGAUGGUUAGAGAAAACGAACGUCGUAUACAUGGGUUUCAUCAGAUGAAUCCCAGAUUCCACUCUCUGUACGUAUCAGACAGCUCUGGCUGAGAUCUCUUCAGUGGCGUCUUUUCCAUUUGGCCCACACCUUUUUUAUUUCACAUCACUUCACUUUUUUUUUUUUAAAUGCCUUUUAGCACACUCACUGUUACGUUUCUGAUAUCAAAAUUUUAUUUUUUAUUAUUCUUACUGUCUUUAAGACAGGAGCCAAGGUGGUUGACUAUUAUUCACUCAUUUGCAAAAUACCUUUAGUUCAGAAUCAUCUUAUCUUUAUAGUUCUGUGAAGGAACAGAACUGUGCUGUUACGAACAUUUACAUUUUAAAUGUGAGCACGCAUUUAUGUGGAAAGUAAGAUUUCCAGUGGUUAUCACUUAGCCAGAGUCACAGUUAUUGACAAAAGUAGAUUAAAGCCCAGGUCUGCUGACCUCAACCUGGACUCAGUGUCAUUUCUCUCAUGGCUAGGAAAUUUCUGGGCUAUUUGAGAAACUUGGUGAUGAAUUAUUACCCCAAUUGCCACUUUGACCCAUGGACGGCAAUUUUCUGUCCUUGCCAAAGUAAAAAACACUGCUGCUACAUCUCAUAAGGGACUUUCCGUGUUUCGGGAGUGACAGAAAUUUCUGAAAGGAAAAUAUCAAGAAGCGAAAAGAGGCAACAGUGGUAUGGAUGGGAAUAAAGAUAAGGGAGAAGGGUAGAAAGGUAGAAAGGCAGUGGUGAGGUCUGAACGAAUGUGUGUCUGUGCCGAGGGUUCCAGGGUCAGUGGCCGAUGUGGGAGAAGAAGGGGGAUGAUGAGGGGACGAGGUUUAGCCAGCGUAGGUGCAAAUGUACCCUGAUUUGUAAGGGGGACAUAGAUGGACUUGCUGUGGUUGUGUUGGGGGGAGGUCAGUGGAGGAAGAGAAAUGGGAUUUAUUCUGGGAUAAUAUGAGGAGGCACUUUUCAAUGAUAGCUUAGAAAUUCUUAGAAUAACUUGGAGGAAGAGUUUUGGAUAGAAGCUGAUGGAAAGAAAUUUUUGGUUCAUGGUCUCUGAAAACAGAUGGAUUGUAGCGUAUACAGUACUUGUAGAAGUUCCCGGAACAGCUGCGCCCCAUUUGCAUCAGUAUUUAAAUGCAUCUCAAGAGGGGCGCCUGGGUGGCGCAGUCGGCUAAGCGUCCGACUUCAGCCAGGUCACGAUCUCGCGGUCUGGGAGUUCGAGCCCCACGUCGGGCUCUGGGCGGAUGGCUCAGAGCCUGGAGCCUGUUUCCGAUUCUGUGUCUCCCUCUCUCUCUGCCCCUCCCCCGUUCAUGCUCUGUCUCUCUCUGUCCCCAAAAUAAAUAAACGUUAAAAAAAUUUCUUAAACGCCUCUCAAGAGACACUAGCCUAAAGGGAAGCUAUCGUGAAUCUUCCUGUCACCAUAGGGAAUCACCCUAAUUUAUGUUUUGGAAUUCGAGCAGGGUUUUGAGUUUUACUGGUCAGUAUCACGAAUCUGUGAUCUACACAGGUUUGUGUUGAAUGCACGAUCCCCGUGUUCCAUCGUACCUGGUUCAGACUCUUCCCGGCUUACAGGAAAUCAAGUAACCUCUUUGACUUCUUUGCAGAUGUUAUCUGAAAAUAGACUUGUUUGCCAGGAAGCUGUGUAUUCAUGCUGUCAAAUAGAACUUUCAUUUGUUUGCCGUGGUACACCCUGCGUAGCACUAUGCCAUCUUCCCUCCUUACCUUUGUUCAGCACCUUCUGACUAGUGGGCGCUGCGCGAGGGUGGUUACAGGUUGACCAUGGUUCCCUGCCGCACAACACUACGUGGGAGGAAGGAAAUUUGUGUGGUUAAGGCAUGGGAGGUAUUGUGACUUCUUGUCUUUACUACUCACCAAGGGCAGUUUCCAGAUCACGUGGUGCCUUUCAGUUCUCAGCCUUUGAAGCAUGAAGUAAUAAAUACAUGUAUUUAUUUGCUUUGCUUGUUGAAGACUAGACUACUGAAAUUGGUGGUACAGGACAGAUGUAUAAGCUGAGUUUGAGUGUACAUUAAAAAUCAUGUAGUCUUAUCUCCCACACGAAGGAAGGAUACCCUUUUAGGACAUCCUGACCCUAUGGGCCCUUUGUCCGUUUAGAGUCAUUCAUUUCUUUGUAAGACACUAUAGGGAGAAAGCCCUUUAAUUGACAUCACUCUUCUCUCUUUGUAUAAUAGGAGAGAAUAUUUGCCAUGGUAAAUUUAUGAGCACUGCCUGGCGCUCUCACCGUGGCAGACAACUAACACGGGAGGUGCGCUAAGGAGGGGCGCCUGGCUGGCUCAGCCGGUGCAGCAUGCGACUCGAUCCCAGGGUCAUGAGUUCAAGCCCCACUUUGGGUGUGGAGAUGACCUAAAAAUAAAAUCUUAAAAAAAAAACAAAGUUGGGGGGAUACCUGGGUGGCUCCGUCAGUUAAGCGUCCGGCUCUUGAUUUCAGCUCAGGCAUGAUCUCACGGUUCAUGGGAUUGGACCUGUGUUGGGCUCUGCAUGACAGCACAGGGCCUGCUUGGGAUUCUCUCUCCCCCUCGCUCUCUGCUCCUCCCCUGCUUUGGCACAUGCUCGCGCGCUCUCUCUCUCUCUCUCUCUCUCUCUCUCAAAAUAAACAAAGUGUUAAAAGAAAAAAAGAAUCACUGGAAAAUAACUAUGGAUGUGUUAAUUAAGCCAGUUGUAAUCACUUCACAAUGUGUAUGUAUAUUAAAUUAUCACAUCGUACACCCUAAGUUUAUACACAUUUCAUUCGUCAGGUGUACCUUCAAAAGGCGAAGGAAAAAAAAAAAAGAAUCACUGGGUUAACAAAAGCAUGGGGAUUUUAAAGCCCAAGAAAACCUAGGUUGCAUUCUGGUUCUGCCAUCUUACAAUGGAAAAACAAUUAGUCUCAGAGGUUAAAUACUAUACUCAGGGUAAUUUGGAUGACUUUUUGCAAAUAACUUCAUUUUCUUCAUUGUAACAUAGGUGUAAUCAAUAUCUAACUCACAUGGUUCUUUUGAAGGUUAGAGAUCAAAACGCCUGGCACAUACAAAGCAGUCAGUAGUUUUUAUUGUGACGGUGAUACGUGUUCAUUCAACAAAUACAUGUUGAACACUCAACUGUUCUCACCAUAUGCCAGGCACUAUUCCAGAUGUUGGGUAAACUGGUGACGAAGACAAACGAGAUCCUUAUUGUCCUGAAGCUUCUGUUUCAGUAGGUGAGACAACGAAACAGGGAUUUCAGUUGGUUCGUGCAGUGAAGCCCACAAAGUGGGGUGAAUAUAAUAGAGAAGGUGGGGGUGGGGGAUAGCUAGUUUAGAGACAUUUCCCAGCGAAGCCAGAGACCCAGCAGGUGAUGAGAAAGAAAGCGCAGGCCGUGAAGCAACAGGGGGCUGGAGGGGAAAUCCAGCAGAGGACUAGUAAGUGGAAAGGUAGAAAAUAGCUGGCUUCUGAAAAGAGGGGCUGGUGUGGCUGGAACAAGGAGAGUAGGAGGGGACGAGGUUAGAGGCAUCGGUUUAUGUAGGACCUUGAGACCAUGAUGAGGAGUUUGAAUUUUAUUCUAAGUACAGUAUGAGGUCAGUUGAGGGUUUUAAUCAGAGGAAUGAUAUGGAUUGAUUUAUGUUUUAAAAAGACAUUUUGGGGGCGCCUGGGUGGCUUAGUUGCCUAAGCGUCCGACUCUUGAUUUUGGCUCAGGUCAUGACCUCAUCGUUUGUGGGUUCAAACCCUGCACUGGGAUCUGCGCUGAUGGCACAGAACCUGCUUGGGAUUCUGUGUCUCCCUCUCUCUGCUCCUCCCCUGCUCGUGCUCGCUCGCUCUCUCUCAAAAUAAAUAAAAAUUUUAAAAAAAUAAUAAAAUUAAAAAAAAAGACAUUUGGGCUGCUGGUUGGAAGCAAGAAAACCAGUCUACAGGCUCUAAUAGGAUUCCAUCAGCAUCUGAUGGUGGCUUGGGUUACGAUCAUGGCGUUGAAGAUGAGGAGACGUGGAAAAGUGUGACCGACAGGACUUGCAGAGAAAUUACUUGCGAAGAAUGAGGGGUUCGGGGGGACUGCUGUAAGUUUUUGCCCUGAGGAACCGGAUGGAAGGGUUGGCUGGGAUGGAAGACGGCGGGGCCUCACGCAGGAGUAGACCUUGUUCAAAGAGGAUUUGGGACUCGUCGAGUUGGAGAUGGCUAGAAGACCCACAUUUUAAAGCCCGUUUGGCCACAAGCCCUGUGUUUUUCCGAUUUAUAUUUGUUCCCUUCUUUUGUUGUUACAACUUUUUUUUCUUUCUUAUCACACAUAAACCUUGAAAAUCAGAAUCUUUGUAUCUUGAAGUUGUGACGUAAGCCUUUCCUGGCCAAACACUCGCAUUGGGAGUGUUAAAUGCAGUGCUGUGCAUUGGCCGGCCGAAGUGAGUGCAUUCAUCCCAUUUUCUGUCUUCAACAUGUAUUUUCCAACCAACACAUAAGACAGAUUUCAGAAGAACUCUGUUCCUUCUUCCAUACGGUGCUAACAUAAAGAAUUAACGAAUGGGAAAGUUCUCCCUUGGCAAAGGUUUCAAAUUCUUUUUUGAGAGGAUGUGCUCUCUUUACUAAAGAUUUUCCAGGGUUUCUCCAGACCCUCAAAUGUAAUAAUUGUGCGAUAAAUAUUUAUUUUGGAUUUUGGUUUUAUUUGGUAUCUUUCUGGAAUGCUUUUCACUUACCCAUUUCACCUUAUUUACUAUUUUUGUUCUGGAAAGUUUAGUAUCUUUGCUGUAUUAAGACUGCUUUUAUUUGGACUCACUCCUCUUCAGUUGUAAUCUUGUUUUGUUCCUUUGGAUUGGUGGGUUACAGAGGAAAAACCUACUGUUAUCAGAUCAUAUGCAGGAUAGAUGAGGAAAGAAAAUAAAACUAGGUACAGAGAAUUACAUUUUACAAGUUUUUUUUUUAAAUUUAAAUCCAAAUUAGUUAACAUAUUUACACGUUUUAAUGACCUUUCCUUCUUCCUUCCUAAAAGCCAGCUAACCCACUUUUCCGUAUUACAACCUUGGCAAAUGUAAAAUUUCCUAACUUUGAUUUCUUUUGUAUCAGUUAUGUGUUGCUGCAUAACAAAUUACCCCCAAGUCCCAAGCUUAAUACAAGCAGCAUUUAUUACUUCACACAGUUUCUGAGAAUAGGAACCUGGAAAUGGCUUGGCUGGGUGGCCUUGGCUCCAGCUUCGGCCUCUGCUGAGGUGGGAGUCCAGCUGUUAGGCAGGGCUGCAGCCGUCUGGUUUGACUGGGGUUGGAUAGUUCUCAGGUAGUUCACUUACAGGGCCUUCGGCAGGAGUCCCAGCUGUCUUUCCUUAUCACUCGGGCCUCCCACCGGGCUGCCUGAGCAUCCCCAUGUCAGGGCAGCUGGCUUUCCCAGAAAGAGUAACUGAGAGGGAGGCGUGAUGGAGGGCAUAACAUUAUUGACUUAGGAUCGUCUUUAAAGUGUCGAUGCUGAAAGUCCUUUCUCAGAUAAGAAAUGCUCGUAUCCCAUAUUUCAGAUUUAUAUCCUGCUGUUCUGUUUCGGUGUCUUUGUGUGUGCAGAAUAGUUUCAUUUUAAAGCCAAGUCAUAACAUUAAAUUCAGAUGUCUUUUGGAGACGUUCUCAAUGGCCAACACUCGUCUUAUUGUAACAGUGCCCCUAACUCAGUUGAAGUGCCAGCCGUAUGAGCGUUUCUGACCACGUGUUUGACAAGCCAGCACUGAGAACUGCAUCAUGAGUGCUGUCUAGCAGACAUCUGUUUAGAAGGUGCAUCCUGAUUCCAGAGGUGUUAGAAUGCAGAAAAAAGUUUUCUAAGAAUUGAAGAAACAGGGCAAACAGUUUUCUCCUCCAGUCAUGGGAAGUACAGUAGAUCAAAGUCUUCUGGGGAUGAGUUUCUUUCCUCUUGGUUUUACAAAGCCUGGAGCUCACAGAUGCCUAGUCUGAUGGGGAAGGACACACGAACGGGCAGUUUGCAACUGGAAUGAAUGUGCAAGUUAUUUCCACGAUACUUUUUUCUUUUAAUUUGGUUUCAGAAACAUAAACAAGGAAAACCUCUCACCGUAACUUAACUUUUUUUUUCUUUCCGUCUUCCUUUUCUUUCUUCCUUCCUUCCUUUUUUUUUUUU